AGGUGUAGCAAUACAUGCUGACGAGCAGCGGACGGGUGAGCAAUGUUUGGGAAUCUGCCUAUUAGCGGGGGACAACCCGGGGAAACUCGGGCUAAUACCGCAUACGCUCUACGGAGGAAAGCCGGGGACCGCAAGGCCUGGCGCUAAUAGAUGGGCCCAAAUCGGAUUAGCUAGUUGGUGAGGUAACGGCUCACCAAGGCGACGAUCCGUAGCUGGUUUGAGAGAACGACCAGCCACACCGGAACUGAGACACGGUCCGGACUCCUACGGGAGGCAGCAGUGGGGAAUAUUGGACAAUGGGGGCAACCCUGAUCCAGCGACGCCGCGUGGGUGAAGAAGGCCUGCGGGUUGUAAAGCCCUUUCGGUGGGGAUAAAAAGCCUUGGUCUAACACACCAGGGUCUUGAUCUAACCCAAGAAAGAAGCACCGGCUAACUCUGUGCCAGCAGCCGCGGUAAUACAGAGGGUGCGAGCGUUAAUCGGAAUUACUGGGCGUAAAGCGCACGUAGGUGGCUUUGCAAGUCGAUUGUGAAAUCCCCGGGCUUAACCUGGGAACUGCAGUCGAGACUGCUUUGCUUGAGUAUGGGAGAGGGAGGUGGAAUUUCCGGUGUAGCGGUGAAAUGCGUAGAUAUCGGAAGGAACAUCAGUGGCGAAGCGACCUCCUGGACCAAUACUGACACUCAAGUGCGAAAGCGUGGGGAGCAAACAGGAUUAGAUACCCUGGUAGUCCACGCCAUAAACGAUGAGAACUAGAUGUCGAGGGGUCUGCCCUUCGGUGUCGUAGCUAACGCGUUAAGUUCUCCGCCUGGGGAGUACGGCCGCAAGGUUGAAACUCAAAUGAAUUGACGGGGACCCGCACAAGCGGUGGAGCAUGUGGUUUAAUUCGAUGCAACGCGAAGAACCUUACCUGGUCUUGACAUGUCUGGAAUCCUGCAGAGAUGCGGGAGUGCCUUCGGGAACCAGAACACAGGUGCUGCAUGGCUGUCGUCAGCUCGUGUCGUGAGAUGUUGGGUUAAGUCCCGCAACGAGCGCAACCCUUGCCCUUAGUUGCCAGCAUUUAGUUGGGAACUCUAAGGGGACCGCCGGUGACAAACCGGAGGAAGGUGGGGAUGACGUCAAGUCAUCAUGGCCCUUAUGACCAGGGCUACACACGUGCUACAAUGGUCGGUACAGAGGGUUGCCAAGUCGCGAGACGGAGCCAAUCCCAGAAAGCCGAUCGUAGUCCGGAUUGCAGUCUGCAACUCGACUGCAUGAAGUCGGAAUCGCUAGUAAUCGCGAAUC
RNAcentral lists this ribosomal RNA (1279 nucleotides) under uncultured Gammaproteobacteria bacterium. Its description in RNAcentral is "bacterial SSU rRNA". It matches the Rfam family "Bacterial small subunit ribosomal RNA", at positions 72 to 1350 of the family's 1533-position model. The record is from RNAcentral. Lineage: Bacteria; Pseudomonadati; Pseudomonadota; Gammaproteobacteria.